Mus musculus (house mouse) is the source of this 2009-nucleotide RNA transcript. It is a transcript of the gene named sphingomyelin phosphodiesterase 5, with no coding region annotated. The transcript is spliced from 7 exons. The record is from RefSeq and is marked validated. NCBI's taxonomy places the organism in Eukaryota, Metazoa, Chordata, Mammalia, Rodentia, Muridae.
UUUUUUUUUAAAUUGUUGUUCGUUUCCAACCGCCACAGAAGUUCUGAGUGGGUGGGGCCAGUGGCCAGCACUCAGGCUCGCGGGACGUCCGGGCAUUACUAGCGGCGCGCACAGGUUGUGCCACCUGGUCUUGACCUCCGCCGCCGCUGGAAACCAAUGAGUCUCCCUGACAUUUCGCGGCGAAGGAGCCCAGUGCCCCAAGAGGACUGGCCCCUGACACCCAACGCCCUGAGGCCUUCACCUUUCCCGAACCCAGUGCUGCAAGCCCUCUACAGUUUAUCCCGCGUGCUGCUUUUCCCGACUUACUGGUCCCUGGACCAGUUGCUGGGCUGCUGGGCACCAAGCGUCCGAUCCAAAAGCUUGGGGUGGUUCAAAGUCCUGGCAGGAAGUGGGGUGUUGCUACCACUGGUGGUGGUCGGCCUACCCUUAGCGUUGGUCGGCCUUGCGCUCUGGCUGCCCCUCCAGGUCUGGCGCCGCCCCUUCUGCUAUCAGCCCCCUCCGGCAUGCUGGGUGUGGCCACAGCCCUGGCAUCCGCCUGCUGAGCGCCGGCGCUGCUUUGUCUUUCUCACUGCUAAUCUGUGCCUAUUGCCCCACGGGCUGGCUCAUUUUAACAACCUGUCGCACAGCCUGCAGCGCGCCGAGGCUGUAGGGGCCGCACUGCUAGAUAGCCUUCAAUCGUCACAGUAUAGGGUUUCCGAAUGCAGUCAGCCGCCGCCUAGGGUGCCUGGUGGUGAGCUGAAGGCCACAUUACCUAUGGGCUUGGACUUCGUGUGUCUGCAGGAAGUGUUCGACCUCCGCGCAGCUCGUCGUCUUGUGCGUGUCUUGGUACCAAAUCUGGGCCCGGUGAUAUAUGAUGUGGGCACAUUUGGCUUAAUGGCUGGGCCGUACAUCAAGGUACUGGGCAGUGGGCUUCUACUGGCCUCGCGCUACCCGUUGCUGCGUGCCACCUUCCGUUGCUUUCCUAACGCUCGUCGCGAGGACGCCAUGGCCUCCAAAGGUCUACUAUCAGUCCAGGCGCAGCUAGGCAUCGUGGACGGGCACCCCAUCGUGGGAUACCUUCAUUGUACACAUUUGCAUGCACCCGUUGGUGAGCCCUGCAGGAGGGUUUGAAAUGUGGAGGAUGGACAUAUUCGCUGCAAACAGCUAACGCUGCUGCUGGAAUGGGUGGAAGAGUUCGAGGCUGAGAACCGGCAGAGUGAUGAGGCUGUAGCCUUCAGCGUCCUCCUGGGAGAUCUAAACUUUGACAACUGCUCCCAAGAUCAUGCCAAGGAGCAGGGCCAUAAACUCUUCAGCUGCUUUCAGGACCCCUGCCGGCUAGGCGUUUGCCAGGAACAGCCCUGGGCCUUAGGGACAAUCUUGAAUUCCUCCAUGCUACGCCACUCCAUUGCCUGCUCCCCAGAGAUGCUUCGGAGGGCCCUGAGACAGGAAAAGGGGCGCCGCCUGUACCUGUCAGGGCCCCUUCAUGGGAGUUACCCAGCUCAGUCCUGGAAGGGCCGGCGUCUGGACUACAUCACCUACCGCAGAGUACCCGGGAGUCGCCUGAGCCCAGAGGCGGAGCAGGUGACAUUCAGUACUGCCUUUGCUGGACUCACGGACCACUUGGCUAUGGGCCUGAAGCUUCAAGUGGUAUGCUCCUGACGCUGGUGCCCAGACAAGGGGAUGAAUGUCGAGAAAGACCACCAUGGGGGGAGCGGAGCCCAAUAACCCAAUAACCAUGCGACUCAAAGGAUCUUUAUUGUGGGGGCACUCAUACUGCUUCCUGGGCGCGGCGGUACUCAUACACACUGCCUCGCUCUGGGAAGGCUGGAUAUAGCGGGGGCGAGCCUGGUGGUGGUGCUGGGUCCUCCGGGUCUCCAUAGCCCCCACCCCCAGGCGUGUGGAGGCAGAACGCGUCCUGAGAAGAAGAGCAAGUUUUAACACAGGUUGCGUCCCUGUCCCAGUUAAGACACAAUCACUCAACCACCCUAUUUCCGUUUGGGAGCCAAAUUAAAUUUUUGUAUCCCUAUUCA